Molecule: ribosomal RNA, 225 nt
Filed under: uncultured bacterium
Lineage: Bacteria
Description: partial 16S ribosomal RNA
Rfam family: Bacterial small subunit ribosomal RNA
Source: RNAcentral
GAUCAUGGCUCAGGAUGAACGCUGGCGGCGUGCCUAAUACAUGCAAGUCGAACGCUUCACAUAUGUGAAGAGUGGCGAACGGGUGAGUAAUACAUAAGUAACCUGGCCUUUACAGGGGGAUAACUGUUGGAAACGAUAGCUAAGACCGCAUAGGUGUGAUAACCGCAUGGAGAUGACAUGAAAUAUGCUACGGCAUAGGUAGAGGAUGGACUUAUGGCGCAUUAG